UGUCGUCCCGCCAGGGGCGCAGCAGGGUAGCUAUGUAUGGACGGGAUAACCGCUGAAAGCAUCUAAGCGGGAAGCCUCCCUCAAGAUUAGAUUUCAUCGAGUCGUGAUAGACCAUCACGUUGAUAGGCCGGGUGUGGAAGUGCGGUAACGCAUGGAGCUAACCGGUCCUAAUCACUCUGUUCAUGCUUGA
Beta vulgaris subsp. vulgaris (sugar beet) is the source of this 190-nucleotide non-coding RNA. NCBI's taxonomy places the organism in Eukaryota, Viridiplantae, Streptophyta, Magnoliopsida, Caryophyllales, Amaranthaceae. The record is from Rfam.